Molecule: transfer RNA, 75 nt
Filed under: Candidatus Fermentimicrarchaeum limneticum
Lineage: Archaea; Nanobdellati; Microcaldota; Candidatus Fermentimicrarchaeales; Candidatus Fermentimicrarchaeaceae
Description: tRNA-Arg
Rfam family: tRNA
About the family: Transfer RNA (tRNA) molecules are approximately 80 nucleotides in length. Their secondary structure includes four short double-helical elements and three loops (D, anti-codon, and T loops). Further hydrogen bonds mediate the characteristic L-shaped molecular structure. tRNAs have two regions of fundamental functional importance: the anti-codon, which is responsible for specific mRNA codon recognition, and the 3' end, to which the tRNAs corresponding amino acid is attached (by aminoacyl-tRNA synthetases). tRNAs cope with the degeneracy of the genetic code in two manners: having more than one tRNA (with a specific anti-codon) for a particular amino acid; and 'wobble' base-pairing, i.e. permitting non-standard base-pairing at the 3rd anti-codon position.
Source: RNAcentral
GGGCCCGUAGCUCAGCUUGGAUAGAGCGGCAGCCCCCUAAGCUGUAGGUCGCGCGUUCAAAUCGCGCCGGGCCCG